Molecule: ribosomal RNA, 218 nt
Filed under: uncultured bacterium
Lineage: Bacteria
Description: partial 16S ribosomal RNA
Rfam family: Bacterial small subunit ribosomal RNA
Source: RNAcentral
UUAAGUCAGAUGUGAAAGACCCGGGGCGUUAACCUCGGAAAUUGCAUUUGAAACUAGGCAGGCUAGAGUCUUGUAGAGGGGGGUAGGAAGUUUCAGGUGUAGCGGUGAAAUGCGUAGAGAUCUGAAGGAAUACCAGUGGCGAAGGCGGCCCCCUGGACAAAGACUGACGCUCAGAUGCGAAAGCGUGGGGAGCAAACAGGAUUAGAUACCCCUGGUAG